RNAcentral lists this transfer RNA (68 nucleotides) under Rhabdoblatta sp. RHA. Its description in RNAcentral is "tRNA-Glu". The record is from RNAcentral. Lineage: Eukaryota; Metazoa; Arthropoda; Insecta; Blattodea; Blaberidae.
AUUUAUGUAGUUUAAUAAAAACAUUACAUUUUCACUGUAAAAAUAUUAUUUACAAGUAAUCAUAAAAU